GGUAAUCAAUGCCUACCUCACCUGUCUUGUGAGGAACCACAAUAAAACAAGUGCACACAAGUUUGGUGUCAUCGACAGUUUUUCGAUAACGGCAAUUUGGCUAGGAAAAUUACCAAGACUCCGGACACUCAAUCCAAUGGCAUUCUCCAUCCUUGUGGGAAUAAUGAAUGAACACCACCACUGGAUGUUGACGGUCAUCUACCCACAUGAGAGGAGAUGCCUUUUUUUGGAUCCAUUGGGGGAAUCUAAAAGGAACAUUCAGAGAUUCCUGGAGUCAACAAGGGCCUUUAUGCGAAAGAAAGACUGCAAUGUGACAAGGUGGGCAUGCACCCUGGCCCAUGCACGCCAGCAAGAUGGCACAUCAUGUGGUGUCCUGGCC
This is a long non-coding RNA of Entelurus aequoreus (snake pipefish), 379 nucleotides long. RefSeq lists it as uncharacterized. NCBI's taxonomy places the organism in Eukaryota, Metazoa, Chordata, Actinopteri, Syngnathiformes, Syngnathidae. The transcript has 4 exons. The record is from RefSeq and is a predicted model, not a curated record.